GUGAAUUUUGUGGUAUGGACAUUCUAACUCAGAAAAACAAACUUUUAAAUGUAAAUUGUUAGAAAUUAAGAUUUUCAGUGUAAAAGAUAUACAAUUGUAAAAUCAAAGAAAUUAGUGAAAACACUGUAAAGUUAAAACUGAACUGCAAAUACUAGUAUGAACUCAUAAUCCAAAACCAAACCAAACCAGCUUAGCUUUGUUCAUUAAAAUGGCCUAAAAACAAUGCCACAUUAGCAACAAUGAACAGUCCCUAACAUCCCCACUGUGGUCUUUAAUAUGAUUGUGGUCUUUUAUACCUCCAUUAAAAGAAACCAGCAAGUGUCAGAGAAAUGACUGAAUCUAGGUCUGACACAGGGAAGAUACAAAGUGAAGCUGACACAUCUGGGCCAGAAAGCAAGUACUGUGUAUACAGUAUGAUCUUCUACAUAUGAGUAUGUGAACAUACAGAGAUCCAGAGGAUAAGAGCUAAGGUGUUAAAAUGGUGCUUUCUGGGUGGUAAGUAUGUAUUGCUUUAUGUUUUUAUUUUUGUUUGUUUCUAUUUCCUAAUAGUUUGGUAACACAAUAGGUAUUGCUGUCAAUAAUGUUUAUUAAAAUAUGCUUGAAAAUGAUUGCUUUACACAAUAGGGAAUAGAGCAGAAUUUGGGGCGGGAAGGUACUGGAAUCUGAUACAAAUGACAGAUACAACUAGAUUAUAGCUCUGACUUAGGGACUGCUCAGCUUUAUUUCCUAUAAAUGGGGUCCCAGCUUUAAAUUAAAGGUCUGAAAUGUAAUGGCAGGUGGGCCAUCAAGGCAUGUUAGCAUGUUUUAUGACCAUAACAAAGCAGAAUAUCUACACGUUUCCUUUUCUGUUUGGUGUCCCC
RNAcentral lists this long non-coding RNA (860 nucleotides) under Marmota monax (woodchuck). Lineage: Eukaryota; Metazoa; Chordata; Mammalia; Rodentia; Sciuridae. The record is from RNAcentral.